This 528-nucleotide ribosomal RNA is filed under the name uncultured bacterium. Its description in RNAcentral is "bacterial SSU rRNA". It matches the Rfam family "Bacterial small subunit ribosomal RNA", at positions 981 to 1509 of the family's 1533-position model. The record is from RNAcentral.
UUGACAUCCAGAGAAUUUAGCAGAGAUGCUUUAGUGCCUUCGGGAACUCUGAGACAGGUGCUGCAUGGCUGUCGUCAGCUCGUGUUGUGAAAUGUUGGGUUAAGUCCGCAACGAGCGCAACCCUUAUCCUUUGUUGCCAGCACGUAAUGGUGGGAACUCAAAGGAGACUGCCGGUGAUAAACCGGAGGAAGGUGGGGAUGACGUCAAGUCAUCAUGGCCCUUACGAGUAGGGCUACACACGUGCUACAAUGGCGCAUACAAAGAGAAGCGACCUCGCGAGAGCAAGCGGACCUCAUAAAGUGCGUCGUAGUCCGGAUUGGAGUCUGCAACUCGACUCCAUGAAGUCGGAAUCGCUAGUAAUCGUAAAUCAGAAUGUUACGGUGAAUACGUUCCCGGGCCUUGUACACACCGCCCGUCACACCAUGGGAGUGGGUUGCAAAAGAAGUAGAUAGCUUAACCUUCGGGAGGGCGUUUACCACUUUGUGAUUCAUGACUGGGGUGAAGUCGUAACAAGGUAAGCGUAGACGU